This is a long non-coding RNA of Helianthus annuus (common sunflower), 1085 nucleotides long. RefSeq lists it as uncharacterized. NCBI's taxonomy places the organism in Eukaryota, Viridiplantae, Streptophyta, Magnoliopsida, Asterales, Asteraceae. The record is from RefSeq and is a predicted model, not a curated record. The transcript is spliced from 5 exons.
UCCAUUCUUGAGUUAACGGCAGUGAAUCAGGCUUGAAGCUCUUAACCACGCGUUUCACAGGGUUUCAUCAUCCAUUCUUGAGUUAACGGCAGUGAAUCAGGCUUGAAGCUGUUAACCACGCGUUUCACAGGGUUUCUUCAUCCAUUGAUAUUUUUCAUCAGUCAAUCAUGUCUGAAGGUCUUAACCACUCGAUAAACAGAUUAGGGUUUAUUCAAGUAUUGGCAGUCAAUCAACUUGGUGGGCUUCAUUUGAUUAGCACUUCAGUUCAUUCUUCUUUGGAAUUGCUCUAAUCAGAUAAGUCUAUUUAAUAUUGAUAAUUUUCCCUAAACCAACUCAAGCUGUUAAUAAACAUUUUAAAAUGUAAUUGAGGAAUUGUAACUUGGUACUUGAAUAUUCAUACUAAUUUUUUGUAUUGAUAAUUCAAAUUCAAUUGUUGACUUAAUAUGACUAAUAUUUUGGUUUUUAAUUUUUAGUUAUAUUAACAUUAUGGAUUAUGGAUUUGAAAAAGUAAUUAUUUAUAACAUAUCUGAAUCUUAAUAUCUGAAAUCUGAAUAUGAUUUGAUUUGAUAAUCCAAUAUUUUGUUGAAUGUUCCUUUUUGUUUGUGGAUGUUUGCCGUGAAUAAUUUCACCUUUGAUAUCUAGCCUUAGAUGAUAUUUUGUAGUUUAGCACUGGAGUACAUGUUUUUUUAAGUUCAGUUUUGGUUGAUCAUAGACUUUUGAUUUUCAACAACUGUUUUUUGUUGUAGGGCAUACAACUUACUUUCCUUCCAGUCAUCAGUUUGAUCAUUUGAUUGAUGCAUACCUGAUUCCGAAUUGUGAUUCAGUGGAAUUUGAAAUUGUCGAAAGGGCAUACAACCUACUUUCCUUCGAGUCAUCAGUUUGAUCAUUUGAUUGAUGCAUACCUGAAUCCCAAUUGUUAUUUAGUGGACUUUUAAAUUGACGAAAGGUACAUACAAUUUUAAGUUUCAUUUUCCUUUUUGUUGUUAAUUUACUCACAAAUAGAACAAUGCGUUUAUUACUAAUGAUUGUACAAUUUAAACCAAAAGUUUGUUGCUAUGAUUUCAUCUUGGUUAACCCUUAUGUCA